CAUCCCCUCCUAGAUUGACAUUAAAACAUCGUCUCAGAUCAAGUGAUUCAAGGUUAGGGCAACCAUUAAGAAUAGCUUCCAACCCUUCAUUUGUCAUCUUAUUUCCAACAAGUUGAAGGUCGCGCAGUUUAGGCAGGUUCUCUGCAAUUCCAAUUGCCUCUUCAUCGUAUUCAAUGCAGUGCGCAGUUUAGGCAUGUUCUCUGCAAUUCCAAUUGCCUCUUCAUCGUAUUCAAUGCAGAGAUGUCGAAAUACCAGGUUGUUCAACUUAAAUGACUUCAAAGCACAACAAAAGCAGCCUAUAGUUUCAAUGGAUUCUUUGCUGAUAA
This 326-nucleotide long non-coding RNA is filed under the name Nicotiana benthamiana. RNAcentral's name for it is "long non-coding RNA (NBEN_LNC015704)". The record is from RNAcentral. Lineage: Eukaryota; Viridiplantae; Streptophyta; Magnoliopsida; Solanales; Solanaceae.